RNAcentral lists this Y RNA (101 nucleotides) under Carlito syrichta (Philippine tarsier). RNAcentral's name for it is "Y RNA (ENSTSYG00000035673.1)". It matches the Rfam family "Y RNA". Rfam says of the family: Y RNAs are components of the Ro ribonucleoprotein particle (Ro RNP), in association with Ro60 and La proteins. Lineage: Eukaryota; Metazoa; Chordata; Mammalia; Primates; Tarsiidae. The record is from Rfam by way of RNAcentral.
GGCUGGUCUGAUUGCAGUGGUGUUUACAACUAAUGGAUCAGAAUCAGUUACAGAUUUCUUGUUCCCUCUCCACUCCCACUUAUUCACUUGAGUAACCAAAA